RNAcentral lists this ribosomal RNA (450 nucleotides) under uncultured bacterium. Its description in RNAcentral is "partial 16S ribosomal RNA". It matches the Rfam family "Bacterial small subunit ribosomal RNA", at positions 354 to 796 of the family's 1533-position model. The record is from RNAcentral.
GUGGGGAAUAUUGGACAAUGGGCGAAAGCCUGAUCCAGCCAUGCCGCGUGUGUGAAGAAGGUCUUCGGAUUGUAAAGCACUUUAAGUUGGGAGGAAGGGUUGUACGUUAAUACCGUGCAAUUUUGACGUUACCGACAGAAUAAGCACCGGCUAACUUCGUGCCAGCAGCCGCGGUAAUACGAAGGGUGCAAGCGUUAAUCGGAAUUACUGGGCGUAAAGCGCGCGUAGGUGGUUCAGCAAGUUGGAGGUGAAAUCCCCGGGCUCAACCUGGGAACUGCCUCCAAAACUACUGAGCUAGAGUACGGUAGAGGGUAGUGGAAUUUCCUGUGUAGCGGUGAAAUGCGUAGAUAUAGGAAGGAACACCAGUGGCGAAGGCGACUACCUGGACUGAUACUGACACUGAGGUGCGAAAGCGUGGGGAGCAAACAGGAUUAGAAACCCGGGUAGUCC